GUGAGUGAUGAAGGCUUUCGGGUCGUAAAACUCUGUUGUUAGGGAAGAACAAGUGCUAGUUGAAUAAGCUGGCACCUUGACGGUACCUAACCAGAAAGCCACGGCUAACUACGUGCCAGCAGCCGCGGUAAUACGUAGGUGGCAAGCGUUAUCCGGAAUUAUUGGGCGUAAAGCGCGCGCAGGUGGUUUCUUAAGUCUGAUGUGAAAGCCCACGGCUCAACCGUGGAGGGUCAUUGGAAACUGGGAGACUUGAGUGCAGAAGAGGAAAGUGGAAUUCCAUGUGUAGCGGUGAAAUGCGUAGAGAUAUGGAGGAACACCAGUGGCGAAGGCGACUUUCUGGUCUGUAACUGACACUGAGGCGCGAAAGCGUGGGGAGCAAACAGAAUUAGAUACCCUGGUAGUCCAC
Molecule: ribosomal RNA, 406 nt
Filed under: Bacillus sp. (in: firmicutes)
Lineage: Bacteria; Bacillati; Bacillota; Bacilli; Caryophanales; Bacillaceae
Description: bacterial SSU rRNA
Rfam family: Bacterial small subunit ribosomal RNA
Source: RNAcentral